AGUGAACGUUGGCGGUAGGCCUAACACAUGCAAGUCGAACGGCAGCACAGUAAGAGCUUGCUCUUACGGGUGGCGAGUGGCGGACGGGUGAUGAAUACAUCGGAAUCUACUUUUUCGUGGGGGAUAACGUAGGGAAACUUACGCUAAUACCGCAUACGACCUACGGGUGAAAGCAGGGGAUCUUCGGCCCUUGCGCGAUUGAAUGAGCCGAUGUCGGAUUAGCUAGUUGGCGGGGUAAAGGCCCACCAAGGCGACGAUCCGUAGCUGGUCUGAGAGGAUGAUCAGCCACACUGGAACUGAGACACGGUCCAGACUCCUACGGGAGGCAGCAGUGGGGAAUAUUGGACAAUGGGCGCAAGCCUGAUCCAGCCAUGCCGCGUGGGUGAAGAAGGCCUUCGGGUUGUAAAGCCCUUUUGUUGGGAAAGAAAAGCAGCAGGUUAAUACCCCGCUGUUCUGACGGUACCCAAAGAAUAAGCACCGGCUAACUUCGUG
RNAcentral lists this ribosomal RNA (492 nucleotides) under uncultured bacterium. RNAcentral's name for it is "partial 16S ribosomal RNA". It matches the Rfam family "Bacterial small subunit ribosomal RNA", at positions 29 to 507 of the family's 1533-position model. The record is from RNAcentral.